UACGUAGGGGGCAAGCGUUGUCCGGAUUUAUUGGGCGUAAAGAGCGUGUAGGCGGUUUGGUAGGUCCGUUGUGAAAACUCGAGGCUCAACCUCGAGACGCCGAUGGAAACCAUCAGACUAGAGUCCGGAAGAGGAGAGUGGAAUUCCUGGUGUAGCGGUGAAAUGCGCAGAUAUCAGGAGGAACACCAAUAGCGAAGGCAGCUCGCUGGGACGUUACUGACACUAAGGCGCGAAAGCGUGGGGAGCAAACAGG
RNAcentral lists this ribosomal RNA (253 nucleotides) under uncultured bacterium. Its description in RNAcentral is "partial 16S ribosomal RNA". It matches the Rfam family "Bacterial small subunit ribosomal RNA", at positions 524 to 776 of the family's 1533-position model. The record is from RNAcentral.